This is a long non-coding RNA of Ziziphus jujuba (common jujube), 3454 nucleotides long. RefSeq lists it as uncharacterized. The transcript has 3 exons. The record is from RefSeq and is a predicted model, not a curated record. NCBI's taxonomy places the organism in Eukaryota, Viridiplantae, Streptophyta, Magnoliopsida, Rosales, Rhamnaceae.
AUGAUGGUAAGAAAAUUCGGAGGUGUUCGGAAAUUAGUAAUAUAAAAUUUUAAUCCUUUAUUUUAAUGUACAAUUUGAUGAAUAUUAAUAUCUCAAUAAAGAGAUUGAAUGAAAAUAUUGUAAUUUUGCUUUAAAAUGGGAAAAAAAAUUCGUCCAAAAGAUAAUUGGAAAAUAGAAUUUUGUUUUCUUUUACCAAAAUUUUAGGCACUAAAUUUGAGAGAGAAGAAAGACCCAAAAGCGGCAGCGAACUGAACCAGAAACUGAUGCCUGCAACUGCCACCAGGUGCCUUGAUCAUUUUUCUUUUCCUGAAGAUAUUCAUUCACCCAAGACUGUCAAGAGGAUUUUCAUUUCAAUAAUAUUAUCCUAGCAACAUAACAUCCUUUCUUCCUGAAGUUGGUGGUUAGUCCUGGUACAGUUGGUGGCUAGUCCUGUGUUUAAAUGGUAGCAUUUUUGGACCAUUGUUAAUUCCAUAUAAAGCAUGACAAAAAAGCGUUGAAUCAUGUGACUUUGCUGCUUCUUGUGCUGGUGGAUAAAUGUCUGAUCAUGCUUUAACUGUACAAGAUGCUUCUCUUACUGUGAUAGAUCAUCUAUUAGCUAUAGGACAAGAAUUUCCUGAUGAAUAUUAAUUUCUCUGAUCCCCUUAUCUUGUUCGUGAAAAACAAAACAAGUAAAAAGGAGAAAAAUAAAAAGAAAACCAAAACUUUGUGAAAUGGUAAUUUAGAAACUUAGCGGAUUGAAAAUAGGCCUAACCGAUUGAGGGUUCUCCAAGAAAGUUGAAGGAAAUCAGAAAAAGAAGAAGAGGUUGUUAGAGAAGGAAGCCAUUUUUUAGGUUAAACAAGAUGUUGGAGAAAAAUGUGGAGUUUUGGGUGGACAUUUUGGAAGGUGUCCAUUUUCUGCACCUAAAUGUGGGUUCUUAAAAAAAAUUGGGGGACAAGAUUUCUGUAGUUUUUCCUUUCUAUAUUUGGAGCCUUUCCAGCCUUUGAAUUUUUACUUUUUCCAGCAGUUAUUUAAGGAACGUAAAUUUUGAUUCAUGUGCAUGCAUGUUAUUCACCGGCCUAUUUCCAAAUUAUUAAAAUUCUUAAAAACUGCUUUUGUACCUGGGAGAUGGAUAGGCGAAAACACAAUCCUAGUGAAUGAGAUUAUUCACUCGAUGAAGAAGAAGAAAAAAGGUAACGGAAUCGUCGGUUUUAAGAUAGACAUGAUGAAAGCUUAUGAUAGAGUGGAUUGGACUGUUCUAACCAGAAUUUUAUCGAAAUUUGGCUUCUCCCACAAGUUCAUUACCUUAGUGCUGCGCUGCGUGGCAUCGGAUUCUGUGGAGCUCCUCUUAAACGGAAGUGUGUUUAGCAAAAUCGAAAUGAACAGAGGACUCCGACAAGGAGACCCCCUCUCCCCUUCAUCAUUUACCCCGAGCUGCUCUCAAGGAUGAUAGUGAAAUUGGAAGGUGAAGGGAAAAUUCAUGGUAUCAAGUUAGGAAGAUCUAGGCCGGGCAUCUCUCAUUUGAUAUUUGCAGAUGAUAUCCUCCUCUUCUGCAGAGCAAACCCGGGUGAGGUAAGGGAAUUGUUUGAUUGUAUCACUAAAUACUGCAAAUGGACAGGCCAAAGAAUGAAUAUGUCCAAGUCUGGCUGUUUUUUCUCCAAAAGUGUAGCUGGAAAAACAAAGGCAAUUGUUAAGAAAUUAUUAGGCAUUAAUGAGUUGUCCAAGGAAUCAAAAUACUUAGGCAACCCAUUAUUCUCUGCUCGAAAUCAUUCCAAGGCCUAUGAGGAUCUCAAACAGAAGAUUGAAGCCAAGCUACAAGGUUGGAAGGCAAAAUUAUUAUCUCAAGUACACGUUAGUGAAAUCUAUCGUCAACGCCAUCCCCAUUUAUGCUAUGUCUGCAAACAAUCUCCCCUCCAGUUGGUGUCAUGAUAUUGAGAAGUUGGCGAAUAACUUCCUUUGGCAGAAAUGAGAAACGGGGAAGACUUUUAUUCCCAUCUCCUGGUCCCGCAUCUGCAGACCCAAAGCAGCCGGAGGUCUCGGCAUAAGGAGACUCAAAGAUAUGAAUCAAGCUCUUCUAAGCAAACUUGGAUGGUACCUGGUCACAGACUCCAAUAGAGUGUGGGUCAAGGCUUUAAAAGGAAAAUACUAUGCAAGCAGUACGUUCUUGAGAUGCAAGAAAAAGAAAGGCAAUUCUUGGAGUUGGAAUGGCAUUUUGCUUGCCAGGAAACUUUUAAUGAAUGGUCUGUGCUAUAGAAUAGGGAAAGGGACUGACAUCAAUAUUUGGGAGGACCCUUGGGUCCCAAACAACCCAGAGUUUAAGCCCACCCUUCUCUUGCAUGGAGGCAAUAGUGACGUACAAAUGGUCAACUCGCUUAAACUUCGGGAUGGAAACUGGAAUGUUUCUAAGCUCAAAAGUUUGUUUGACGGCAGUACUGUUAGAAAUAUUUGCAAAAUCCCUUGUAUCAACCAAAGUAUGAACGACAAAUUGAUCUGGUGUGGAAACUCGAACGGUUGCUUCUCAGUCAAGUCAGCUUUUCACAUGGAAGUUUGGAAAAAUUAUUCAAGCUCUCCUUGGUGGAAACAUUUAUGGGCCUCUAAAAGACAUGAAAGAGUAAAAAUUUUCUUAUGGAAAUUGGCCAACAAGGGUCUGCCCACUGCCUCCAAUCUUUUAGACAGAAAUAUGUUGAUCGACAAUCAAACGUGUGUGCAUGGUUGUGGUUGUAGAGAAUCAGAUAGUCAUUUAUUCUUCCACUGCCAGGUUGCAAAGGCAUUAUGGUUUGCCUCACCUUGGAGCAAAAAGUGGGACUCUCUUGAAGAUCAACCGUUAGAACAGAAAUUAUUGAUUCUAUCCAACCCAUCCUCAAGUGUUACCUGUUCGUGCUGAUGACCAUGCAACGUUUUUCCUUUAUGCAACUCUUAUUCGGGAUCAGAUAUGGUACAUAAGGAACAGCUCCUUAUUCAAAAACAAGAUUUUCUGUUUGGAUGAUGUUAUUUGCAGGCUGGAAAUUAGAUUUCAAGAAGCUCAAAAUGUAGCCACACGCUGUCUGGGAGGUCUCAGGGUGAUACAUUGCAGGCCAGCCAGAAGCAAACCACCCAUACAAUGCAUCAAGAUUAAUACAGACGCAGCAAUCAGGGAUGAUUCUAGUCUGGUAGGGAUAGUGGCAAGAGACCAGCAGGGAAAAAUGCUUCGAAUUAAGUCAGUCAGAUGUCCUUCAGACAUUCCGGAGGUUGCUGAAGCUUAUGGUUUGAUGCAUGGUUUGAUGCUAUCCAAAAGUUGAUUUGUUAAUUUUUAAUGAAAUUUAAUAUGUGUGCUUCAUCCCAGUUUAUUUUCACUCCAACAGAAGAUCGAAAUGAUACCCUCAAACAAGGCUGAGAGUCUCUAGAGGGUAGAGAAGUGCUGGUUGGCCAAAGCUCUCGUUAUAACAAUUGAAUGUCACGAAAAACAUUGAUCAAUAUAUUGUGUGUUGGCAAGAGGAA